CCUUCUCUCCACCAUCAAGUUGGCGACUGGAACUGAAUCUCCGACGCCGUUUCGCGACUGGAUCUCCGAUGCACUACGCCGACUGGAAGUCUGGAACCAGAUCUCUCUCUCCGGUGAAACACUCAUUCUCUCUACCAUCACGUCGGCGACUGGAAUUGAAUCUCCUAUGUACGAUGUCGUUUCGCAACUGGAUCUCUAACGCACGAAUUGGAUCUCCGAUGCACGACGCCGACUGGAACCAAAUCUCUGAUUCUAUCUUCUUCCUCUCAAUGCCACCGGCCAUGUCUCUGUCUCAGGCUUCCUCGAUGACUCCCUCAAAUUCCUCCAUCUCAGAAAGUUGAAGAAGCUCAUGUUUUAGUUCAGCAAUGGUCACUGCCACUAAUUAUAUCUCCAAGUUCAAAUAUGAGGUAGCCACUCUCAGCCAAAUCAGUGAGAAUGAGAAGAAUAGAUUAAUCAACCUCUUCUCUCACUAUCUCAGGUGGGCGUCCACUUUCUGCUAUUUGGAGAAGACUGAUGGUUGCACCUUCAACUAUUGGUGACUUGCAAACGAUAGUAAAAGUGUGUUAUCCAAGUUUAGAGUCUCUCUGUCAAGCUCACAAGUUUGCUUUAUUGACAUGUUGGGAAUUGUUUCGUAUUACAUGAAUUUUACAAACUGUUGACUAGUGUCUUGUUCCAGAAACACUUAGAAGUGUCAACUCUGUCAUAUUACACCAAAUUGGUGGAUAUCAAGCUUUAGUUUGUUUUGUUUUGA
Rosa rugosa (rugosa rose) is the source of this 751-nucleotide long non-coding RNA. RefSeq lists it as uncharacterized. The transcript has 4 exons. NCBI's taxonomy places the organism in Eukaryota, Viridiplantae, Streptophyta, Magnoliopsida, Rosales, Rosaceae. The record is from RefSeq and is a predicted model, not a curated record.